UGGGGAAUCUUGGACAAUGGGGGAAACCCUGAUCCAGCCAUCCCGCGUGUGCGAUGAAGGCCUUCGGGUUGUAAAGCACUUUUGGCAGGAAAGAAACGUCAUGGUUUAAUACCCCGUGAAACUGACGGUACCUGCAGAAUAAGCACCGGCUAACUACGUGCCAGCAGCCGCGUUAAUACGUAGGGUGCAAGCGUUAUUCGUAAUUACUGGGCGUAAUGCGUGCGCAGGCGGUUCGGAAAGGAAGAUGUGAAAUCCCAGAGCUUAACUUUGGAACUGCAGUUUUAACUGCCAUGCUAGAGGGUGGCAGAGGGAGGUGGAAUUCCGCGUGUAGCAGUGAAAUGCGUAGAUAUGCGGAGGAACACCGAUGGCGAAGGCAGCCUCCGGGGCUAACCCUGACGCUGAUGCACGAAAGCGAGGGGAGCGAACAGG
This 429-nucleotide ribosomal RNA is filed under the name Acidobacteriota bacterium. RNAcentral's name for it is "Acidobacteria bacterium partial 16S ribosomal RNA". It matches the Rfam family "Bacterial small subunit ribosomal RNA", at positions 355 to 776 of the family's 1533-position model. The record is from RNAcentral. Lineage: Bacteria; Pseudomonadati; Acidobacteriota.